Molecule: long non-coding RNA, 500 nt
Organism: Patella vulgata (common limpet)
Lineage: Eukaryota; Metazoa; Mollusca; Gastropoda; Patellidae
Exons: 3
Source: RefSeq, a predicted model, not a curated record
AUAUCAUUAAGCUACUUAAUUACUCAAAUAUAAGAUCAAACACUAUCAGCAUCAAUACAUUAUAUAAAUAGAGAACAAAUCAUACAGACCACAUUCAACAUUAGUCGAUAAAGCUGAAAACAGUAUGAAGUUGUUAGUUGCAGUAUGUGCUCUUGUAGCAGUAACAUGGGUUGGUAGAUCAGAAGGAUAUGAAUGUCAUUCCUGUACACCAGAAAGGAAAAGUCGGUGUCCUACUUUACGAGCUGAUUGUGAAGCUGUUCCUCCGGUAUGUGGUUGUUGUGAAAGAUGUGCUCGUAAAGAGAAUCAGAGCUGUAGUGGUCUUUACGAUCCGAGAUGUCAAACUGGUUUGAAAUGUGUGACGUCACCAAACGUGGACAAUCGAAGGAUUUCACUUUGGACUAGUCCAGGAAAAUGUCGCAGUGUCUAAACAUAAAGACCGGAAUGCAAAAAAAAUAAAAAUAAAAAAUAAAGUGUAUGAAAUAAAACAAAUGCUAAUGCUU